AGAAGACGGUUUGGUUUGGAGAUGGCAUCAACAACAACAACAACUGAUAAUUCAGCGUUUUCUAAGUGGAUUAUACUCGCAGCAUUUUGAAUUUGUCACAGAAAUUGAUAAGAACUUCACAGUAAGGUGCACUUUAUGUGCUGGUGGGAGGCCGAGGGAACUGUCUACGGCUAAAAAUAGUACAAGUAACCUCAAGAAACACCUGGAGAGAGUGAACAGCAGCCUCAAGCUAGCGGCUAAACGACCUCUUGCUAGUAAACAAGUGGAAGAUGACGGCGCGAGCAGAUCUAAACAACGACAGCUGGAUUUCUCCAGACCAGAGGUGAAGAUGCUUGACCCAGGAGAAGUGAGAAGGCUGGUGGCUGAGUAUGUCUUGGAGGAUGUGCUGCCUCUUUCUACAGUUGAGUCACCGGCGUUUCAAAAGCUUGUCUGCAAAGUCCCUGUUCGAUCAAGUGAGAAGACAAGCUGAUGAUCACAUCUGCGCAUCCCUGGAUUUUAAUUACGCGAUGUGUGCCUUUGCCCAGAAACUGGCGAGGGAAAAACAUCUGGUUAAAGCCUUCCAUUGUCAGACGGUGUCUCGCCAAUUAGAGGAAGAGGAGCCUUGGAGAGCUACCCUGCUAUGUCUUCCCUACAUUUCAGUCUGGAUAAUAGCUUGGGUUUGCCAGCAAGCGGUUAGUUUCAGGGCACGGUGCUGGAAGACCUACUUAAGGCUCUGUACUGUCGUAAUUCGCUGCCUGUUUGCUGGGGUUGAGUGGCACUUAAGUCUUGACAGGAGGACUGACUUGAAGUGGGAAAACAUGGCGUAACACCGCCUGUACUGCCUCUCUCGUUGCGGUGUGGAUGUCAAAACUCGUAAGUGUGAGAAGUUUUGCUUGUUAGCAAGCAUUGUGUAAAUAAUCAACCAUUUCAAGAAUUUACAUGAGUUUUCUUUGAACCUGUUAUCUUGAAAGGGAAGAGUCAGACAAAUUAGGGCUUCUGAAAAACCAAAAUAAUGAUCUUCUACUCGACAUUUGUACUGCAGUUGGUAAAGACUUUUCCACCACGGCUUUACUUUUUCAUUUUCAGGCUCUGGGCAAUUCAGUGAGGAGCCUCCAGGAAAAUUUCACUCAUUGCAUAAAGUUCAAUAUGUCCAACCUUUGACCCCUGUCUUUUCUCAGACUUUGACUCAAUCCCACUCUGCCUGCUUUCUCCCAAAGCCUUGAGAAGUGAUUCAUUUGCGUCCCGGUGAAAUUCAAUGCACGCACAGAAUCUCUUUGCACUGAACUGUGGCUGGUGGGCUUUCACCCUUUGGAGUAGCGAAGUCUUCAUUGCUGCAUUGCCAAAAUAUCAUCACAUUACUGAAGGUCUUGGUCUGUUUUUUAUUAAUAUCUUCUCAUACUGAGGAAGGGCUGCUGAGAUGU
RNAcentral lists this long non-coding RNA (1400 nucleotides) under Sparus aurata (gilthead seabream). RNAcentral describes it as "lncRNA (ENSSAUG00010004077.1)". The record is from RNAcentral. Lineage: Eukaryota; Metazoa; Chordata; Actinopteri; Spariformes; Sparidae.